Non-coding RNA from Delphinapterus leucas (beluga whale), 5599 nucleotides. Lineage: Eukaryota; Metazoa; Chordata; Mammalia; Artiodactyla; Monodontidae. The record is from RefSeq and is a predicted model, not a curated record.
CAUUGGGAAGUCAUGAAUAAGAGACUAUGAAGCUUGCACGUCAGAUCUUCCUCAAUUAAUCCACCAUUAGCAUGUUUGGGAUCCACUACUGGAUGGUUAACAGCAGCUUUUGUAACUGUACGCCGACCAUACCCAAUUAUGCUCUGCUAAAAAUGAACUCUUUGCAGACCAGCCCUCUCGGGUUGUCAGUGUUUUCCGUUUUCCUAUUUUAACGUUUGUGUAUAGUGGCAGGCGACAGAUGGUGUAGAUCAGAUCGAUUUGAUUGCAUUAGAUGAUUUUUUUUCCCUUCCCCACUCCUUUCUGGAAGCUCGCAUCAGCUGAAGGCUACCGCCUGGGACUCCUCGGAAGCGUGAGCAAGCCGCCACCAUGCGAAGGCACUGGGGCACAGCCAGCGCAAGGCACCGAGGUCCCUUCCUAGGGCUUGUUAACACUGUAACCCGGCACUCCGAGGGAAGCAGCUCCCACUGCCCAGAGCCUACCUCACUGCUCAUCAGAUGACUCUCUGGCUUCUACACACAGUUGGAGUUCCGCUUGAAACCUGGAUUUAGAGGGGCUCUCUCGCUGCCAUGACACUCAAUCAAAGCACCUAGAGUGGGCUGGCUGAGACCAGAGAGGGUACCAAGCAGAACAAGGACAGAGGAAGGCACUGGGAGAGCACCAGAAUUGGAGAUAGAGCAGCCAUUUGGAUUUGGGCAGGAAGCAGCCGAGCACAGCUUUGGAUCCUUCUUUAGGGAAAUCGAGUUAUGGAUUUAUGGUCCCGGUCAAGCUCAGCCCAGCCCCAGCCAGGGGCGGGCUCAGCAGCAAGAGUUCUGGUGGCGGCGGCAGUAGCAGCGGCAGCGGUAGCAGCGGCAGCAGCAGCUUGGUCCUCUGACUCUCUUCGGUGACGGGUAUUCUUGGGUGGAUAAUACGGAUUACGUUGUUAUUGCUUAAGAAUACGCGUAGUCGAGGAGAGUACCAGCGGCAGGCGGGCAGCGGCCGCCCCUCCCAGCCCACCAGCUGGCCUCUAAACGCCUGUGGUUGCCAAGGUAGCACUUUUUUGAUCUUUUCCUUUCCUCGGUGUUUUCGCUCUGGGUCGCGUGUUAGGUGAUCGCAAGACACAUCCCACCAGAUGGGCUGUGUGCGCCGCGCCUCUGGUGACUGGAGCUGUAGAAUGGGUGCGUGCAGAAGGGCGGGGGUCUAGGCGGAGGGGAGGGGCGGGGAAAGGAUGAGGGUCUGUUCCGCGAAGCCUGCGGGGAGUUUCGGCGUCCCCGGCCUUCCAGGCUCCUCUCCCCGUUGGGGUCUGGCUGCGGGGAGAGACGCGGCCCGGGCGAAUUUCGAAAGUUGGGAGUGAUGGAAAGGCCUUGAGCAGUUUGGCAACGUCGCGAGUGAGGAGCUGGAGCUUAGCAGAGGGUCGCUGCGGGCUGCCUGCGCAGAAAGGGCGUGUCCGUGGGCGAAGGUGCCCCCGCAAAACGCGGAGGCUUCUGACUUCGCGAAUCCCGGGCCCCACCCCCAGCCGUGCCACUCCGCAGCCAGACCUGGCGGCCCGGGUGGGGAGCGGGCGGGAGACCCGGGCCCGGGUCCCCCGGAACUUCCAGACUGGAAGUGUGUUGGGUCUCUCAGGGGCCCAUAUUUUCUUUUCGGAUUCUCCGCGAAGGGGUGGAGAAUCAGCAUGGGAACCGGAUUGGUUGCCGUUUGGCACAGAACUGGAACCUUCCCGAAAGCGGUGGGGCAGGCAGGGACUGCUCAGUCGUCCAGUUUCUUUGGGACACCUCUUCGUCGUGUCUUCCCUGCCUCUGCCGUUAGGAUGAGUCUCAAACAUCAACAAACCCAAGGCACGUUCCCCUUCUCAGGUCUGCUGCGAUGGGACUAGAGGAAGAGAGAGCCUUUCCCUACUUCUACUUACAGUUUCUGUUUGUUUGUUUGUUUCAAAUGUUAAUGGACGAUCAAACCCUACGGAUUUGUCCAGCAGAGGAGGGGUCCUAGCGAAGAACUAGCAACCACCCACCGAUCCCCCCACCCCCACCCCGCACACUCGGACACAUCUGAGGACGACCGGCUGUGGCGGGAGUUGAGAUGCCCAAAAUGGUGUUGGAAAAGGUGAUCCACCGGAGAAGACGCGGGCCAAGGAGGCUCCAGCUCUCAGCUCUUGUGGGCUUAAGACCACGCGGCUCUGCAACUCUCCUUUCCCUCUAGGGAGGCGCCAGGGCCUGCCCAGUGGCGGCGCUUCAUAGGUGGAAGGAGAAAAUGCUGGAGACUAGAACGUGCCAGGCCCCCAGAAGGUUCCACGAGGCUCAUUAAGAACCUCCUAGGACCCUAAGACCAAGUUUCUUACCUGCGUGGUGGCCCCUGAUUUUGCACGGGCUGCGAAGACUGAAUUCCUGAGAAGUCGAAGCUGCAGGAGGGGGAAAAAAGAGAGAGAGAGAGAAGCCUGCGACGCUCUCCUUUGCGGCGCUCCCACACCAGCUCUAAACCGAGCUACUCCCCAGACACCUUUUCCCUUGGGAGGACUGGCCUUUCCCGGGCGCGACCUGCAUGUACCCCGAUGGGUUCUUGCCCACCAGAGCAGCCCUGAGCCAUGGAGACAUUGAGAGCAAAGUGCCCCAGAGGAGGCAGGCACACUCUCACACUUUCCCAUCUAGAGUCUCGCCUUUCUUCCAGUGUCUUGGAUUCAUAGUGAAGGGUACACUAUGCCACGCCUCUCCCUGUCCCUAUUCCUACCACACCGCAUCUGAUCCCACAUUCAGGGUAUCAGCACUCAUAGCUUUUGCGCUCAGGGAAGGUUGUUUGCAAGGAAAAUGAGUGGUGGCCCUUCUCAGAAGCUCCCAGGGCUGGCGAUCCCGUUUUAAGAAGGAGUAUAAGUAGAAAAGAAAACACAGAUACUAUCUUUGCACUCGAAAUUCUAUCACUAGCAAGAGAAUUUGUAAACUGCUGUUCUUUCCUUCAUCGUUCCAUGAAUUACCCUCUUUCACUCGGGAUUCACCAGUUGGUGAUAAAGGGCUUUUAAAUAUUGUGCUUGUUGUGUAUUUAACAGAAUUCAAUAUGUCUACUGGUGCCCUUGUUUCAUUAGGAAAUUGGGAAAGUAGAGAGAACCUGCAUAAUCCAGUAAUUCGGUGAUCUUUGGAAAGUUGGCCUCAUGCUGGUUUGUUAAAUAAGUGUAUGAGAUUGAAAGGCAAAAAGGGAGUUGGGAACCUAGUGACAGAGUUUGCAAGAAAUGAAAGAUGUAAUACUCUGGCAUUUGUUGAGAGAAUAAGGAAGAACUUUUGAAAAAUAAGCUGUUUCGUUCAAUUCUUUGCCACUGGUACUUUAGCUUAUGAUUGCAAUUGCUUCAUAAAUGAAUAAUAAUUUUUUAGAGUGGAAUACUUUUAAAUGCUAGUGACGAAAUCUAGAGGAAACCUGUACUCAUCUCAUGGUCACAAAAAGUAUUUGAUAUUCUUGGUUCAAGUGGUUUAACUACGUAUCUCAUUGCUUUCUUUCCUGUGCAGAAUUAUUUCUUAAAAAAGUUUCCAUUAAGUGUCAGUCUGACUGAGCUGGUUCCUAUUUAAAUUUAGAAAACAAAACAAAACAAAAAAAUAUGGGUUUAACCAUACUUGGCCUUUUUAGAUAAGAAGGAGGAAAAUCCCCAAAACUUUAUUAAAUUGAAAUUGCUGUAGUUAAUUGUUAUUGUUAUAAGGCAGCUUUUUUUCUCCCUCAGAAAAUAGAAUUUUAAAUUACAUCACCACUAGCCUGUUAUCACUUUUGCCCUGUGGGUAUCCAUAGACAAGACUAAAGAAGUACAAAGUGAUUCUCUAUGUUUUUCAUGCUAGAUACAAGUGAUUUUAAGUAAUCAUAAUAGGUGGGUUGUUUUUCAAUUGAUGUCCAAAUAUUAGAAGGGUAUGCAUCCUUUUUCUAAAAUAUGGUUUGCUUUACAAAAGUGAUACAAUUUUUACCUGAGAAAAGCAUAUGGAUACAGCUUAGACUCUUUACUUGACAGUAAUACUUAAGGCACAGUGGACAGGGAAAGAGUAAACUUGUGAAAAUUGCUUUUGUCUGCUAUUUUUACCUUAAUGAAGUCUGCCUAAGUACUCAAAUCUUUAUGAACACAAUUUAUGGCUUUUGAUAGAAGAUUUUAGUUUUCUCGUUGAAAUUUAUAUGUCUAGAACAUUCAAAUUUAUAACAUGAUAUUCAUUAAUAGGUGUAAGAAACACCAUCUUGGUUGAUGGUUUACUACUGAGUCUCAGGUAAGGAGAUUGACAGAAACUGCAUUUUACAAAGAAUUUUCUGAUUUUAUUUUUUGUUUGUGAAUCAUGUUCUGAUAUUUUUGCUUGAAUAGAAGUGCAGGGAAUGGUGGUUUUCAGAGUUAAAGAUCCAUUGAGGGUCGUGACAACCUCUGUGUGAAUACCAAAAAAAAUUAUUGUGCACAUGAUUCUGACCAAGCACAUUUUUAAAUAAAUAAUCAUGUCCUGGAGGUAGGAUCUCUCUCCAAGUCCACUGUUAGCUCUAGAAUGAUAUGUUUCUUGGUGUUACAGCAGUGCCAGUCUAGAACUAGAACAGUACUAUCAAUGAAUGUCCAGGCAAAGGAGAAUGAUGAAGUAGCAUUUUGAUGGGAGGAAAAUUCCAUAAGUCAUAUUACCAUUUUUUAAAUUAUAUUCCAUAUCAGUACUAGUAAAUUUUCAAGUAUAAAAAUAGACAUUUUUUUUGUCUAGGUGGAGAUGAUGGGUAUAUUGGGGAAUAUUUUGUGCUUUUAUGUAGGACAGAGAAGGACUAAGGACACAGAAGCCAGUAUAAGAUGAUCACGAUUAUUCACCAACUUUUCAAUACUGUACAGUUUCCGCUGUCACUGAAUCACAGAAAUGACAGGAUGAUGUUCUUACUCUUAUAAAGUAGUGUAAUCUGCAUGUUAGACUUACUAUUUGAAAGUAAAUUUAUUUGAUGAUAAAUGUUCUCAGUACGAAGAAAACAUAUUAAUGACAAUACUUAAAGAGUUUUAUUAUCGUAUUUAGCUAUUACGUAUAGCUAUUGGUAGUUAUACACCUAUAAACAUAAGUGCUAAAUAUCUUUUAAACAAUGAGUUUUGUAGUACAGUUUGUUUUUCAAAUGUUUUGAGAUUUUCUCCUCUGGCACCUAUACUUUAAAUCAUGACUUAGAACUCAAAUUUAAAUUUACAAAACCUUUCAUGUGGGUGUAUAUUAUAAGCUUUUUCAUUGAGAAGACAUUGCAAUUUAUGCAAAAACUGUAAGCUAAAGAAAUAUUAUGAAAUUUUAAGUUUCUUGAAAUAUGUUUAGUACCUGGUUGAGUUUGCUGAGUGCAGCUUGACGGUGGAACCAAUGUGUCCUAAUAUUUAUAUUGUUGUCCCAGAUUACAAAUAUGUGACUACCUAAAUCUUUUAUGUUCUGAGUUCUGAGUUCUCUAUCCUGGUUAAUAAUGAGAGCUAAGUAAGACAGUCUGUUCUCCACAACCAAUGAAAAGUAUUAUACUGUCUAUACAAGUGUAAAGACAACACUUUUCAUUUGCUGUGUUUGUGGAAAUACCCUUUGAGAUUCAGUAACAAUCCAUGGUAUCUGAAAAUUUAUACACAUGACACCUAUAGCUGAAACUAAAAGUUAAAAAAAAAGCCAAGAAUAAACUAUGAACUUUAAAAUAU